Molecule: ribosomal RNA, 254 nt
Filed under: uncultured bacterium
Lineage: Bacteria
Description: partial 16S ribosomal RNA
Rfam family: Bacterial small subunit ribosomal RNA
Source: RNAcentral
UACGGGGGGAGCAAGCGUUGUUCGGAUUUACUGGGCGUAAAGGGCGCGUAGGCGGCCUCCGCAAGUCAGUUGUGAAAUCUCCGAGCUUAACUCGGAAAGGUCAACUGAUACUGCGGGGCUAGAGUGCGGAAGGGGCAACUGGAAUUCUUGGUGUAGCGGUGAAAUGCGUAGAUAUCAAGAGGAACACCUGCGGCGAAGGCGGGUUGCUGGGCCGACACUGACGCUGAGGCGCGAAGGCAUGGGUAGCGAACGGG